UACGAAGGGAGCUAGCGUUGUUCGGAAUCACUGGGCGUAAAGCGCACGUAGGCGGAUUUGUCAGUCAGGGGUGAAAUCCCGGGGCUCAACCUCGGAACUGCCUUUGAUACAGCAAGUCUUGAGUUCGAGAGAGGUGGGUGGAAUUCCUAGUGUAGAGGUGAAAUUCGUAGAUAUUAGGAAGAACACCGGUGGCGAAGGCGGCCCACUGGCUCGAUACUGACGCUGAGGUGCGAAAGCGUGGGGAGCAAACAGG
Molecule: ribosomal RNA, 253 nt
Filed under: uncultured bacterium
Lineage: Bacteria
Also listed under: 2 other names
Description: partial 16S ribosomal RNA
Rfam family: Bacterial small subunit ribosomal RNA
Source: RNAcentral